Molecule: non-coding RNA, 123 nt
Organism: Hordeum vulgare subsp. vulgare (domesticated barley)
Lineage: Eukaryota; Viridiplantae; Streptophyta; Magnoliopsida; Poales; Poaceae
Source: Rfam
UUAAUACUCCCCCGUCCGAAAAUUCUUGUCCUAAAAAUGAAUGUAUUGGAUGUAUCUAUAAUUAAAACAAGUCUAGAUUCAUUCAUUUCUAAGACAAGUAUUUUCGGACGGAGGAAGUAUAAG